GACGAACGCUGGCGGCGUGCCUAAUACAUGCAAGUCGAGCGAUCAGACGAGGUGCUUGCUCCACUUACGUUAGCGGCGGACGGGUGAGUAACACGUGGAUAACCUACCUAUAAGACUGGGAUAACUUCGGGAAACCGGUGCUAAUACCGGAUAACAUCUUGAACCGCACGGUUCAAUAGUGAAAGACGCUUUUGCUGCCCUCUAUGGUUAGCCCGCCGUCGCUUAAGUAAGUUGGUAAGUUAACGGCUUACCAGGGCAACAAUGCGAACCGGACUGGGGAGGGGGUCGGGCAACACGGGACCUGGGACACGGUCCAGACUCCUACGGAAGGCGGAGGUAGGGGACCUUCGCAAAAGGGCGAAGGCCGGACGAGGCAACGCGGCGGGGGGGAUGAAGGUCUUCGAAUCGAAAAACCCGGUUAUUAGGGAGGAACAAAUGGGUAAGUAACUACGCACGUCGUGACGGUACCUAAUCAGAAAGCCACGGCUAACUACGUG
RNAcentral lists this ribosomal RNA (497 nucleotides) under uncultured bacterium. RNAcentral's name for it is "partial 16S ribosomal RNA". It matches the Rfam family "Bacterial small subunit ribosomal RNA", at positions 28 to 507 of the family's 1533-position model. The record is from RNAcentral.